AGUGGCGAACGGGUGAGGAACACGUGAGGAACCUGCCUUUUGGUUCGGAACAACACAGGGAAACUUGUGCUAAUACCGGAUAAGUCUUUACGGAGAAAGCUUUAUGCACCAUUGGAUGAGCCCGCACUUGAUUAGUUUGUUGGUAGGGUAAUGGCCUACCAAGACUAUGAUCAAUAGCUGAUUUGAGAGGAUGAUCAGCCACACUGGGACUGAGAUACGGCCCAGACUCC
Molecule: ribosomal RNA, 230 nt
Filed under: uncultured bacterium
Lineage: Bacteria
Description: partial 16S ribosomal RNA
Rfam family: Bacterial small subunit ribosomal RNA
Source: RNAcentral